AUUUUAUUUUUUUAUAAAUAAAAACUAUCAUACUAUAAUGUCCGGACGAGGACCUUGACAUUACAAACCAGAAUUAUGGCAUCCAAAUCUUCAACAAAACUUGCUCUUUUCACUGUCCUCCUCCUCUUGUUUACCAUUGUUGCAACGUCUGGAAGGGUAGAACCAGAGGCGAUAGAAGAAGUACUAGUAGGUGAUGAAGGAGCAAUGGCAACAAUAGAGCUAUUAGUGCUGCAGCACCAGCAAAAUGACAGAUGCACAUAUUAUCGUUGUCACUCUGAUUCUCAUUGCAAAAAGUUUUAUUGCUCUAGAUGUUCUUCGGACAUCGUGGGUAGGGGUGUUUGUAUGACUUAAUUGUACCAACAUGUGUAAUAUGCCCUUGGGAGAGAGCCUGGGCUGGUACUUUCACAUACCGUAGUUUUCUUUUAAAUAAAAGGCAAUGUCUCUCCCUUGUAUCAAGAAGACUCGAUAGUCAUGUGUUUUUACCAAAGGCAACUUCUCUUUUGCCCCUCCAUCAUCA
Molecule: long non-coding RNA, 517 nt
Organism: Nicotiana attenuata
Lineage: Eukaryota; Viridiplantae; Streptophyta; Magnoliopsida; Solanales; Solanaceae
Exons: 2
Source: RefSeq, a predicted model, not a curated record